CGGCGGACGGGUGAGUAACGCGUGGGUAACCUGCCUCAUACAGGGGGAUAACAGUUAGAAAUGGCUGCUAAUACCGCAUAAGACCACAGUACUGCAUGGUACAGUGGUAAAAACUCCGGUGGUAUGAGAUGGACCCGCGUCUGAUUAGCUAGUUGGUGGGGUAACGGCCCACCAAGGCGACGAUCAGUAGCCGACCUGAGAGGGUGACCGGCCACAUUGGGACUGAGACACGGCCCAG
This 238-nucleotide ribosomal RNA is filed under the name uncultured bacterium. RNAcentral describes it as "partial 16S ribosomal RNA". It matches the Rfam family "Bacterial small subunit ribosomal RNA", at positions 96 to 334 of the family's 1533-position model. The record is from RNAcentral.